Molecule: ribosomal RNA, 379 nt
Filed under: uncultured bacterium
Lineage: Bacteria
Description: partial 16S ribosomal RNA
Rfam family: Bacterial small subunit ribosomal RNA
Source: RNAcentral
CCUACGGGAGGCAGCAGUGGGGAAUAUUGGGCAAUGGGCGCAAGCCUGACCCAGCAACGCCGCGUGAAGGAAGAAGGCCUUCGGGUUGUAAACUUCUUUUAUCAGGGACGAAGCAAGUGACGGUACUUGAUGAAUAAGUCACGGCUAACCACGUGCGAGCAACCGCGUUAAUACGUAGGUGGCAAGCGUUAUCUGGAUUUAUUGGGUUCAAAGGGUGCGUAGGCGGUCCGUUAAGCCAACGGUAAAAUUGCGGGGCUCAACCUUGUCGAGCCGUUGAGACUGGCAGGCUUGAGUUGACGAGAGGUACGCAGAAUGCGAGGUGUAGCGGUGAAAUGCAUAGAGAUCGCGCAGAACUCCGAUGGCGAAGGCAGCGUACCGG